GAGAUUUCCCAUGAUUUUAUAUCAGUAAGAGCCCUGAGAGAUGAUCAGGUAGAUAGGUUAGAAGUGGAAGUGUAGUGAUACAUGUAGCGGACUAAUACUAAUAGCUCGAGGACUUAUCCGAAA
RNAcentral lists this ribosomal RNA (123 nucleotides) under Streptococcus uberis C8329. RNAcentral's name for it is "partial 23S ribosomal RNA". It matches the Rfam family "Bacterial large subunit ribosomal RNA", at positions 2806 to 2925 of the family's 2925-position model. The record is from RNAcentral. RNAcentral also lists the same sequence under 2 other names. Lineage: Bacteria; Bacillati; Bacillota; Bacilli; Lactobacillales; Streptococcaceae.